Molecule: microRNA precursor, 205 nt
Filed under: Oryza nivara
Lineage: Eukaryota; Viridiplantae; Streptophyta; Magnoliopsida; Poales; Poaceae
Description: MIR812 microRNA precursor family
Rfam family: MIR812 microRNA precursor family
Source: Rfam by way of RNAcentral
AAAAACUUAAUUCCUAGGUUUUCAUGUCUAACGUUUGAUUGUCCGUUUUAUUUAAAAAAAAUAUGAAAAAAUUUUAAAAGAUAAGUCAUAUAUAAAGUAUUAUUCAUGUUUUAUCAUCUAACAGUAAUAAAAAUACUAAUCAUAAAAAUUUUAUAUAAGACGGACGUUCAAACGUUGGACACGGAAACCCAAGAAUUGAGUCUUU